This 189-nucleotide ribosomal RNA is filed under the name Triticum aestivum (bread wheat). Its description in RNAcentral is "partial small subunit ribosomal RNA". Lineage: Eukaryota; Viridiplantae; Streptophyta; Magnoliopsida; Poales; Poaceae. The record is from RNAcentral.
CAAAAGCGUAAAGCUUGUGCAUCCCUCACCAUGCUCAUUUCUUGGUCUAUAUGGAACGAAAGAAAUGCACGGGUCUUUCACAACAAGUCCUCACCGUCAACAAUCUUGCUCAACGACAUCAAACUUGAACUAUCUCUUUGGGUGGUCGCGGGAGCCAAAAAAAUAGGGACCAUCAUUUCGGGGGAGUAA